GUGCCAGCAGCCGCGGUAAGACAGAGGGUGCGAACGUUGUUCGGAAUUACUGGGCGUAAAGCGCGUGUAGGCUGUCGCGCAAGUCGGGUGUGAAAGCCCGGGGCUCAACCCCGGAAGUGCACUCGAAACUGCGUGACUUGAGUCUCGGAGAGGGCGGCGGAAUUCUGGGUGUAGAGGUGAAAUUCGUAGAUAUCCAGAGGAACACCGGUGGCGAAGGCGGCCGCCUGGACGAGCACUGACGCUGAGACGCGAAAGCGUGGGGAGCAAACAGGAUUAGAUACCCUCGUAGUCC
This 292-nucleotide ribosomal RNA is filed under the name uncultured bacterium. RNAcentral's name for it is "partial 16S ribosomal RNA". It matches the Rfam family "Bacterial small subunit ribosomal RNA", at positions 505 to 796 of the family's 1533-position model. The record is from RNAcentral.